ACCUUGUGAGAAUGAAACAUGAAGAAGGCUGACUGCAAACCAGAAGGAAGGUCCUCAUCAGACACUUGAACUGUAGCCCCUUGAUCUUAGAUGUCCCAACUUUCAGAACUAUGCGCUAACUGAGGCUCAGAGACAUAAAAGAAUUUGACCAAGGCCACACUGAUUUUUAAACUCAGAUUUGUUUCAUUUCCAAACCUGUUCUUUUUGCACCACACCAUACCAUCCUUGUGUCUGAUUCUUAGGACAAUGCCAGCUCUCUGAAAUACGCCACAUGAACAGUCUACCUGCUGCCCACGAGCACUGGAGUCGGGACACCGAGGACUCAUUUGCCUCCAUUUCCAUUUCCAGUGAAUCCAGACACCAUGGACUUCCUACCUUAGCCUUCCUGAGUCAAUGUUCCUCCUAUUUAGAGAGAGCUCAGACCACCAUAAUCAUAUGUUUCAAUUUCAGUUUUUGGUUUCUAAAAAUAAAGAGGAUCCAUGGUCUAGA
Odocoileus virginianus texanus is the source of this 489-nucleotide non-coding RNA. NCBI's taxonomy places the organism in Eukaryota, Metazoa, Chordata, Mammalia, Artiodactyla, Cervidae. The record is from RefSeq and is a predicted model, not a curated record.